AGUAACACGUGGGCAAUCUGCCCNGCNCUUCGGGAUAAGCCUGGGUAAACUGGGUCUAAUACCGGAUAGGACCUUUAGACGCANGUCUUUUGGUGGAAAGCUUUUGCGGUGUGGGAUGGGCCCGCGGCCUAUCAGCUUGUUGGUGGGGUGAUGGCCUACCAAGGCGACGACGGGUAGCCGGCCUGAGAGGGUGUCCGGCCACACUGGGACUGAGAUACGGCCCAGACUCCUACGGGAGGCAGCAGUGGGGAAUAUUGCACAAUGGGCGCAAGCCUGAUGCAGCGACGCCGCGUGGGGGAUGACGGCCUUCGGGUUGUAAACCUCUUUCACCAUCGACGAAGGUCCGGGUUUUCUCGGAUUGACGGUAGGUGGAGAAGAAGCACCGGCCAACUACGUGCCAGCAGCCGCGGUAAUACGUAGGGUGCGAGCGUUGUCCGGAAUUACUGGGCGUAAAGAGCUCGUAGGUGGUUUGUCGCGUUGUUCGUGAAAUCUCACGGCUUAACUGUGAGCGUGCGGGCGAUACGGGCAGACUAGAGUACUGCAGGGGAGACUGGAAUUCCUGGUGUAGCGGUGGAAUGCGCAGAUAUCAGGAGGAACACCGGUGGCGAAGGCGGGUCUCUGGGCAGUAACUGACGCUGAGGAGCGAAAGCGUGGGGAGCGAACAGGAUUAGAUACCCUGGUAGUCCACGCCGUAAACGGUGGGUACUAGGUGUGGGUUUCCUUCCUUGGGAUCCGUGCCGUAGCUAACGCAUUAAGUACCCCGCCUGGGGAGUACGGCCGCAAGGCUAAAACUCAAAGGAAUUGACGGGGGCCCGCACAA
This 820-nucleotide ribosomal RNA is filed under the name Mycobacterium sp. RNAcentral describes it as "bacterial SSU rRNA". It matches the Rfam family "Bacterial small subunit ribosomal RNA", at positions 109 to 928 of the family's 1533-position model. The record is from RNAcentral. Lineage: Bacteria; Bacillati; Actinomycetota; Actinomycetes; Mycobacteriales; Mycobacteriaceae.